Molecule: long non-coding RNA, 2821 nt
Organism: Zea mays
Lineage: Eukaryota; Viridiplantae; Streptophyta; Magnoliopsida; Poales; Poaceae
Exons: 6
Source: RefSeq, a predicted model, not a curated record
CCACCCGCGCCGCCAUCAUAGCUUGCCCCACUCGCGCCGCCAUCACCCUCCACAUCGGCGCCCCAGCUGCUAGACCUGGCCUCCAUGCCAGGAUUGUUAGCCCCUGCUCCCGUCGAUACCUCGGUCCUUCGCCAUGGGGGAGCCCGCUCCCGCCGGUGCCCGGGUCGGUCGCCAAGAUCCCCGCCCUUUGCCCUGCCCGUCCCUUAGCUCCAGCCCCCGCUCUUGCUAGCAAUAGCCCUCGCCCCAAAGCCCCACUCGCUUGCAGUCACGGAAUGGAGAGUAUUUUCAUCAUGUCCAAGCAUACGUUUUCCAGAGCAGCCUCAUUGGUGAGAUCAUCAGUUGUUUUGAGAAGAAGGGCUUCAAUCUCAAGAUUCUGUAAGAAUGUACUAAAUACAAUAAAUAGUAUAGCAUAUCGUGUAUCUGUAAGCAUGGUCUAAAAUACAAUAAAUAGUAAGCAUAAUUAUUGUUACAAACACAUGUAUUUGUAGCCAACUUGUGCAUUGGAAUAAAAUAGGCAAUUAUCAAUAAUCAGGUGCUAGAACGACUAAGUAACAGUAACAUAUUCCCAAAAAUAUGUUGUUGAUCUGAGGUAAUUUUCUAUUAUAUCCCAUAAUCUGAUUCUGUUGGAGACUUGGAGCAUUUAUGAUUAAGUUCCAAUUGUCAAGUAAGAAACAUUCAGUUGUUCUGGGCUAGUGGGCUUCAUUUGGUCCUUAUAAUUUUUUUGGAUUCUUAGUUUCUCAAUGAAUCAUGUUCAUUCUGACUUAUCUGCUAUUCUCAUUUGCAUCUUGUAGGAGUCUUAUCUCCUGUGUACAUAUGGUUGCUUCAUAAUAAGGCAUCUAGUCUUAAAUCUAAUCUACGGUUUGGAAUUUUUUUGGAAAGUAUACCUUGAAGAUGUUUAUUUGUGUUCAAUUUUGUCUAGGCUGAAUAAACAUCAUAUAAACGCUAAAGGGCCUUUUUGGGUUCAAUAAAAUGGACAUUUCAGACCUGUAGCCUAUGUUUUGGCUAAGCAAUAGGUGACUGAAUGCUAAGAAGAUCCUACCAGUUUAGUAUUUUUUAUGUGAUGUAACCAGUACUAUUUUUACGACAAUUUUAUAUGUUACUCUUGAAACUUUGGAGGGUCUCAGUUUUCUUGUUUAUGCACAUAUCACCUGUACACUAUCUAUGCUAAGACAUGAAAUCCUAGACUUCCUAAAUGUUUUAGUUUUCAGUUUGGAAUGGAACCUGACAAUUAAAAACUAUGAGACUAUCCAAUGUUUGAUUAUUAUUCAUGACAAGCUUGCAUUCUUAUAGUUUAGGUGUUUCUUCUGUGCUUUCCAAAACUAGUUCCUGACAGAGGGUUGCGUUCUUUUCUCCAAGGAAAACAGAGUGUUGCUGGUCCAUGGACCAUAGUCCAUUUCUCCAACACAACAGCCAUUGUCUCAGAUAGAUAACCUUCUACAGACAUCUUAUGAUCAAGGGGACAAAUGAGAUCAUGCCAACUCUACUCCAUGUACUGCUGGUGUCACAGGAUUAAUAUACAAUGAAGAUGUUGAUUCUUCUUGGAGUUGCACGAAUGAACCUUGUGAUUGUGAUUAGUUACUUCAAAGCAUUUUUUUGGUCUUAAUGCAUGGAUGGGAGAGUGUCGGAUGCUUCUUCAGAUACUAUUUCUUGGUCCGUCAAAUCUGCUUGACCCAAAUGAAAGUUUUUCUCAAAUGUGGCAAAAAUAAUUGUCUCAUCAAUUGUCAGCGCGCCUGCUUCCAGCAAAGUUUCAGAGAAGGUGGUUAUGCUCUGGAUCAUGCUUAGUACAUUUUCUUCUUCGAUGAAGGCAAGUGAAUGUAGCGGUGGUUGCUACCGUUUUGACUUGUUGUUUCAUCGCCUACACUCUACUAUUCAGAAUCAUCAAAUUCUUUCGUAAUUGAACUCUAUGGUGAUGCUUUACUUGAUUGUAUUAUAUUGAUGCUUAAUCAUAUAUUGAUGAUGAUGAUGAUUCGAGUAUGACCCACGAGAUUAAUUCACACUCCUGAAGGUGAAUGAAGUAUUAUUUGAGGUUUGUAUUAUAUCUGAAGGUAAACGAAGUAUUGUUUGAGGUUUGUAUUCUAUUUGAAGGAAGUGAAGUAUAUUGAUAAAUGCAGCAUGCCAUAUACAUUGCAUGAUUCACUUGCAUAUGAAGUUUUGUCGUGACCUAUGGUCCGACCGUACCGGUACAACUUAGCAUCGUACGUUGCACGAGGAGGGGUACGAUGCGGCUUCAUACCCUUAGAGGUAUGAAGGCAGAGGACAUAUGCAUUGCAUUCAUAUGCAUUCAUUGAAGUGAUAUUUGCAGAUGGUGUGGUUUUAUACUCUAAGAGGGAAGUGUUAUACAACCUAUUGUGGUCAUUCGAGGAAAUGAGAUGGCAUUGGUUAUUUUGGGACUAUUGAGUUCUAUAUCUACAAGUAUUUCUGAUCUCAAUUGUGAUCCCUUUUAAAAUGUUGAUUAAUUCAAUUCUUUUGGUUUAAAUAUCUCGUCAAAAUAAUUUACUUGCUGAGAUAUUUCAUCUCACUCUUGCAUUACUCAAUGCAGGUACUUGAUUCAUAUUGGGAAUGAGGGAAGUAGUAGCACGUCCACCUUCACUCUCAUAAUAACGCUGCCUAGGCACAACCAUGAUUUAAUUAGAAACUUCUUGUCAAGGAUGUUUGUUUUUAACUAGUCGUGCACACUAGUUAAUUCAGUUUAUGUCGUUAUGGUUAUCUUCCCAUUGCUAGCAGAUUAUUAAUGCCUAGUAUGUUUUCUUAUCAUGAUAUUUGUUUAUACUCUGUUGCUUCCACGUUUAUGCAAAUUUCCAAAGGAGAUGUUGUCGAAAUU